Pieris napi is the source of this 490-nucleotide long non-coding RNA. RefSeq lists it as uncharacterized. NCBI's taxonomy places the organism in Eukaryota, Metazoa, Arthropoda, Insecta, Lepidoptera, Pieridae. The transcript is spliced from 4 exons. The record is from RefSeq and is a predicted model, not a curated record.
GAUCGUAUCAUUAAUAGUGACGAUUUUUCAACUUGUCACUGUGAUUACUUUAGCCAUUAUAAUCGUUUUAAUUAAAACAAAUGACCCGGAUGAAAAUAUGUAUGUGGUCCAUAAUAUCAGGAUCUCACCGUUACUUCUCCGGGCUAUUAUCGGAUUAAAAAUAAUGCACUCCUCAUGUUUCUUCUACGGUGUAAAAACUAAAAACUCGUGGUUCGUACUAGCAUACGUGGUUAUUUACAUUAUAGAAACAAUACUGAAGGCUCUUGGUAUUACAUUUUUGGCUUAUACUGUGAAUGUAUGGUACAUUGCAAUGUAUCUUGUAACUGUUCUCGACAUUCUGGUAGUUAUUAUGUUGUUACAAACGCAUGCGAAAAUUAAGAAUUAUAACAACGGAAUCCACGAACUCUGAUGGGAACAUUUUGAAGAAAAAAAACUACCUAUAUUUAAUUUUAGUGCAAUAAAUUAUCAUUAAAUUAGUAACAAUGUUUUU